Molecule: transfer RNA, 62 nt
Filed under: unidentified
Description: Exostira schroederi tRNA-Tyr
Source: RNAcentral
GGUAAAGUGGCUGAGUUUAGGCAGUAAAUUGUAAAUUUAUAGACGAGUUAUUUCCUUUACCA